GCGUAUACAAUUUACCUUUUACAGGAGGAUAGCCCAGAGAAAUUUGGAUUAAUACUCCAUGGUAUUAUAGAAUCGCAUGGUUUUAUAAUUAAAGUUUCGGCGGUAAAAGAUGAGUAUGCGUCCUAUUAGCUGGUUGGUAAGGUAACGGCUUACCAAGGCGACGAUAGGUAGGGGUCCUGAGAGGGAGAUCCCCCACACUGGUACGUGAGACACGGACCGACGACUCCUACGGGAGGGCAGCAGUGAGGAAGUAUUGGUUCGAAUAGGAGGGACGAACUACUGAACCAACGCCACUGCCGC
Molecule: ribosomal RNA, 300 nt
Filed under: uncultured bacterium
Lineage: Bacteria
Description: bacterial SSU rRNA
Rfam family: Bacterial small subunit ribosomal RNA
Source: RNAcentral